This 552-nucleotide ribosomal RNA is filed under the name uncultured bacterium. RNAcentral describes it as "bacterial SSU rRNA". It matches the Rfam family "Bacterial small subunit ribosomal RNA", at positions 355 to 896 of the family's 1533-position model. The record is from RNAcentral.
UGGGGAAUAUUGGACAAUGGGCGAAAGCCUGAUCCAGCGACGCCGCGUGGGCGAUGAAGGUCUUCGGAUUGUAAAGCCCUGUGAGACGGGAAGAAAAGUGCGCGGGAAUAAUACCCCGUGUAUUUGACGGUACCGUCAGAGGAAGCACCGGCUAACUCUGUGCCAGCAGCCGCGGUAAUACAGAGGGUGCAAGCGUUGUCCGGAAUUACUGGGUGUAAAGGGCGCGUAGGUGUUCGAAUGUGUCAGAUGUGAAAUUCCAUGGCUUAACUAUGGAACUGCAUUUGAAACUAUUCGGAUAGAGUACGGUAGGGGAAAGUGGAAUUCCCGGUGUAGAAGUGAAAUUCGUAGAUAUCGGGAGGAAUACCUGUGGCGAAGGCGACUUUCUGGACCGUUACUGACACUGAGGCGCGAAAGCGUGGGGAGCAAACAGGAUUAGAUACCCUGGUAGUCCACGCCGUAAACGAUGGAUACUAGGUGUUGCGGGAGUUGACCCCCGCAGUGCCGCAGCUAACGCGAUAAGUAUCCCACCUGGGGAGUACGGCCGCAAGGUUA